This 1373-nucleotide ribosomal RNA is filed under the name uncultured bacterium. Its description in RNAcentral is "bacterial SSU rRNA". It matches the Rfam family "Bacterial small subunit ribosomal RNA", at positions 28 to 1381 of the family's 1533-position model. The record is from RNAcentral.
GAUGAACGCUGGCGGCGUGCCUAAUACAUGCAAGUCGAGCGAACGGACGAGAAGCUUGCUUCUCUGAUGUUAGCGGCGGACGGGUGAGUAACACGUGGAUAACCUACCUAUAAGACUGGGAUAACUUCGGGAAACCGGAGCUAAUACCGGAUAAUAUUUUGAACCGCAUGGUUCAAAAGUGAAAGACGGUCUUGCUGUCACUUAUAGAUGGAUCCGCGCUGCAUUAGCUAGUUGGUAAGGUAACGGCUUACCAAGGCAACGAUGCAUAGCCGACCUGAGAGGGUGAUCGGCCACACUGGAACUGAGACACGGUCCAGACUCCUACGGGAGGCAGCAGUAGGGAAUCUUCCGCAAUGGGCGAAAGCCUGACGGAGCAACGCCGCGUGAGUGAUGAAGGUCUUCGGAUCGUAAAACUCUGUUAUUAGGGAAGAACAUAUGUGUAAGUAACUGUGCACAUCUUGACGGUACCUAAUCAGAAAGCCACGGCUAACUACGUGCCAGCAGCCGCGGUAAUACGUAGGUGGCAAGCGUUAUCCGGAAUUAUUGGGCGUAAAGCGCGCGUAGGCGGUUUUUUAGGUCUGAAUGUGAAAGCCCACGGCUCAACCGUGGAGGGUCAUUGGAAACUGGAAAACUUGAGUGCAGAAGAGGAAAGUGGAAUUCCAUGUGUAGCGGUGAAAUGCGCAGAGAUAUGGAGGAACACCAGUGGCGAAGGCGACUUUCUGGUCUGUAACUGACGCUGAUGUGCGAAAGCGUGGGGAUCAAACAGGAUUAGAUACCCUGGUAGUCCACGCCGUAAACGAUGAGUGCUAAGUGUUAGGGGGUUUCCGCCCCUUAGUGCUGCAGCUAACGCAUUAAGCACUCCGCCUGGGGAGUACGACCGCAAGGUUGAAACUCAAAGGAAUUGACGGGGACCCGCACAAGCGGUGGAGCAUGUGGUUUAAUUCGAAGCAACGCGAAGAACCUUACCAAAUCUUGACAUCCUUUGACAACUCUAGAGAUAGAGCCUUCCCCUUCGGGGGACAAAGUGACAGGUGGUGCAUGGUUGUCGUCAGCUCGUGUCGUGAGAUGUUGGGUUAAGUCCCGCAACGAGCGCAACCCUUAAGCUUAGUUGCCAUCAUUAAGUUGGGCACUCUAAGUUGACUGCCGGUGACAAACCGGAGGAAGGUGGGGAUGACGUCAAAUCAUCAUGCCCCUUAUGAUUUGGGCUACACACGUGCUACAAUGGACAAUACAAAGGGCAGCGAAACCGCGAGGUCAAGCAAAUCCCAUAAAGUUGUUCUCAGUUCGGAUUGUAGUCUGCAACUCGACUACAUGAAGCUGGAAUCGCUAGUAAUCGUAGAUCAGCAUGCUACGGUGAAUACGUUCCCGGGUCU